GAUCCACCUGCCCCUGCCUCCCAAAGUGCUGAAAUUACAGGAUUCAUCAUUUCGCAUUUCUGUAACCAUGAAUGAGGGUGUUUGUUUUCUUAGAACUGUCCAUGUGGAACAUCCUGUCAGCCUCAGCUUUUUAACAAUCAGGAAGAAAGUCACACAACCACAUAUUUUCUGAACAUAAGCUGAACUUCUACUUCCAUGGAGUGAGUUACUUCACCUCAUUGGCAAAAGACAACAGAAGAGUCCAAAGUCUGAGGGGACUGGGCAAGCUUCUGUCACAUGCUUUCAGAAUGAAGACAAUCUGCAAGAAUUUUAAGUUGUGACCUCUACAGAGAAAAGAAUGAAAAGUAGCCAAAUCUCCACAUGAGAGAUUUUGGACUAUUUUGCAGUGUAAACCCCAUCUGAUUUAUAUGAAGUAAGCAGACUUUCUCUCCAAGAGUUCAAAAUAAAUUAAUUCUAAUGCUAAA
This 464-nucleotide long non-coding RNA is filed under the name Homo sapiens (human). RNAcentral's name for it is "HSALNT0335279". The record is from RNAcentral. Lineage: Eukaryota; Metazoa; Chordata; Mammalia; Primates; Hominidae.